This 725-nucleotide long non-coding RNA is filed under the name Ananas comosus (pineapple). Its description in RNAcentral is "long non-coding RNA (ACOM_LNC022862)". The record is from RNAcentral. Lineage: Eukaryota; Viridiplantae; Streptophyta; Magnoliopsida; Poales; Bromeliaceae.
UUUUUUUGGGGAUGGAAUUUUUGUAGAACUUUUUUACAAAAUAAUCAUCUAAAAUUUUAUAAUUUGUGAAAUAACCUUAUUAAAUUUGUAUUUAGCAAAUUAACUUUCGAAACGCGGUGAAUCAUUCAUCGCAUUCUGAAAGUCUUUUUUAAAGUCGGUGAAACAUUCACUGUCUUCUUCAUAAUUUUUUGGGAAAGAGAAAAAGAUGAGGUUGUUAAAAUUGUACGUAGAUUAUAUGGGGAAUAAAAAAAGUGAGGUUGUUAAGAUUGUGUGUGAAAUAUUAGAAUUUUUGUUUGAUUGUUAGAAUUAUAUGGAUAGAUUAUUAAAAUUUUUUUGAUUGUUAGGAUUAUAUGGAUAUAUUAUUAGGAUUUUCAAUUUGUUAAGAUUAUAUGUGAUAUUUGAUUAUUACGAUUGUAUGGAUAGAUUAUUAGGAUCUUUUUUGAUUGUUAGGAUUGUAUGGAUAGAUUAUUAGAAUUUUCAGGUUAUUAAGAUUAUAUAUAAUUUGUUAAAAUAUUUAUGUGGUUGUUAAGGUUAUAAAAAAAUAAUAAUAAACAAGUGAAAGGCGGUAAAUGAUUCACCGCUUUUCUAAGAAAUUAAGAAACCGGUGAAGGCGGUGAACCAUUCACCGUUUUUAAAAGAUUAGUUUUUUAAAUAUAAUUUUGGCAAAAUUAUUUCACAAAUAAUAAAAUUUUAAAAGGUUAUUUUAUAAAAAAAGUCCUUUUUUG